UUUAAACUAGGUUCGACGGGGACAGGUGAGCAAAGACCACAGAUUUCUCGUUUCAGAUUUCAAGCGGGUGAGUGGAACUGGUGGGAGCCAGAUUACACGAGGCAAAAGGGUGUGAAAGGUGCAAGAAGCGCUUCGUGCAUGCGCGAUCUGGUUGACAAUGGCUAGCAAAAAUCUCCGAGCUGCGGCGCUGGGACAGGGCCCAACACCUACAGUGGAGCACCCACGCGGGGACAUAUCUCGAAGAACCAUCGUUACUGAACCAAGGUGAGUAACUUCUUUCAUUAAAAAUCCUGCUGUAGCUGAUGGAAGCAGCUGUGUUUUGGUAAGUGCAUUUACUUUACAGAUGUUAGCACAUAUAAAAGGUAAUUACUUGAAAGCUCUGGAGGCUGAGAUCAUCAAUUUAAACACAAAAAAGAGCAAGCAGUUAUAGUGUGCAUUUUCUCAAAUUUUUCUACAAAUGUGACUUGGCUUCUAAGGAGGACAGAAAACAUAUUAGAUUUUGUGUCCAUUCAUCAUUUGCUUCUAAAUACUAACAAGGAUAUCAGUUGUUGAGAUUUUUUUCAUAUCACCCUAAUCUUUGAGAUCUUUAGAAAUUAACAUAAAACCCAACUAGCACUAUACUCGUGGACCUAGAAUUCACUUCGUCUUCAUCCCACUAUAUAUUAAGAUUCCCUUUAUAGCUUAUUAAGGGUUUAAUAAUUUUUAAUGAAUGAUUAGUCACCUGGUUAACAUGUCCAUAUGUGACAUUUAGUCCCGAUUUGCAUAUAACCAUCUAUAACACUUACUAAUCAUGUCUUUACCAUGCUUAUAGUAGAUAUUAAUCAUUUAUGAAUCUUUUAUUAAGUGUUUAUAAAAGGAACAUAAUUCCGUAACAACUGUUUUGCUUCAGCUUCACUGAAGAGAGCAGGAGGAUCCAAAAUGUUUGAUGGAAUUCUGGGGUUGAUUGUUUUGAAGAAUCGUGCAUUGCAAAGUGAAUUAUUUAAGUUACAAACCAGUUGAUCCACUCAGCCAUAUCCACAUCUUCAUCCACAUAAUUUUCUCCCAAUAAGCAGUUUUUCAUAUGUUGUUUCAUUCUUGCAACCAGGCCCUGCAUCAUCUUCUUGCACUGCUUACACAGAAAUAUUUUCCUUUUUUACCCAGGGAAUGAAUGUCUUCAAAAUAUUCCCAGUUAGAGUUUGUCUUGUGCCAUAAGCACAGAACAAAAACGAUACUAUCCAGCUUGUCUUUCUUUGCACAUGUUACUUUUUAGUGUGCUGAGAAAUUGAAAGCCUAGAAUUUUCAAGAAGCAAGAGCUAGUAGUUAGGCUGGACAUAUUAAUUCACUUUUAUGAGACUGUCAGUGUACAUGUAGCAUGUCUGUGAUGAGAUUGUUAUAACUGUUAUUUUUAAACAAGAAAUUUAACACUUUAUUGAUAUUUUUAGAAAGAUAUAAAUUAAAAAAAAUCCUAUUUAAUUUUUAAAAAAAUCAUUGAUUCUUAUCCAACCUGUUUAAACAUAUGUUUUUAGGUUUGCAAAUUGGUAAAUUUUGUUUGUUUUUUAUUUCAUUCUAUCAUGCUUUGGAGUGAGUGUUGAAGGAUGAGCAGCCAAGCAGUGGUCAGCCAGAGGGAGAAGAACGUCAUACAGCCCCCAGAAUAGCAACAGCAGUAAAUAUGGUCAUGCUGUUUCUCCACUCAGACCCAGAUCACAUUCACAGCACCCAUUGGAUCCAUUGGCUACCAGACAUUCAGGAGCUUUGAUGAGACAUUUACACAUGUAACUGCAUUUAAAUAGACCUUAUUCCAGCAUCAAACAAGCUGACAUCAAGCAAAAGGGAGGAGACAUGAUCAUGGGGCAAAGUGUGCAAACACUAUACAGACUAUGGGAAGAAAAAUAUUAAAUCGUGAAGUGGCUCAGUGCUCCAAAAAACAGACUAUGUACUUGUUCCACUCAAAUCUACAUGUAAACAUACUGUUAUUUGCAGCUGACUUGUGGCCAUUGAAAUAUGCAGGUUUUGCAUAAUGGGAAAAGUGGACUUCAAAAUGAUUCUCUUCUGUGACUGUCUUAUGUUUUAUAUAAUACCUAUCACAGUGGUAUCAAACUGCCUACCAUAAUGAAUGAGCAGACAAGCCCAGGAUAAGAGAUUUUUUCACCUUUCUCUAUUUAAAAAUAUCAUAUAAUAUCAGUAGCACACACAGUAUAUUAGGAGUGCUCAAGCUUGUACAGCUGGCUGGGAAAACCCUGUUAACUUCUUAGAUUUUUAGAAAGGUGAACUUUUUCAAGGAUCCAAAACUAGCCUCUUACUUCUGUAGGCAAAACAUGGCUCACCAUUUUAAUUUCAUUUCCUCUGAACUACAGGGAAUUGCAUAAGGUAAAUCUGGGCAUUAUUUGUCUCUGGCUCUAUACCUAUCAUUGCAAUUUAAAAAACUGGUUUCAAUCUUUUGCUGCUUCUCUGCUUUGUUGGUUUCUUCUGCCCACCCACUAUGUCACUUGGGGUGUUAAUGGAGGAGGUUUGUUAUUUCAGAUGCAUACCAACGCCUGCUGCACUCAUUUCUUCCCUACAGUCUUGCACAGGGCACAGAGUCAACUUCAUACUUUCAUUUGUCUCAGUUACACACACAGGAUUUAAAUUCAUCCCUUCCUCUACAUAGCCUAAUAUUUUCUGUCAGAUGAUAACUCAAUACAUGCUAAAUAGUAAAUCUGGUUGCUUUUUUACUAUAAUUUUCAAUUUAUUUUGGAGGAAUCAGUUUCUUUCUUGCCAUAUGAAAACCUUGCAAGAUACACGUGUGUUUUCAGAGCAGCAGGCUAAUGACGCUAUUGAGUUAAGAAAAAAUCAUGCCAUCAUGUUGCAGUCUGUGCCAAAAGAACAUAGACAGCUAUUCAGUGCCCAGUAUCCACUGCUGCCCAAAACCUUAUCUUGUCCUAUUUAUAAUUUCACAACUGAGGUCCUGUUUAAGAGUUGGGUGAAUGCUGUAUUUGCUUUAAACAAACAAAUUUGCUCCUUUGGUGACUAUGCUUUUAUUGUGUUUAUUCGCAGAAAACACAUUUUAAAUUCAGAUGCGUAUUGAUUUCUGCUGGAAGUACUCAUGUGCCCUCAUUCAAUAAAGGAUCAGAAACCGACCAAUCAGGACUAAGCAAUGCAGCUCAGAUUUCAAAUGUCGACUCCUAAAUACCUGCAGAAAACCUUGUAUUAUUAAUGAAUAAAUAAAAAAACAAAUGUA
This is a non-coding RNA of Pelodiscus sinensis (Chinese soft-shelled turtle), 3196 nucleotides long. NCBI's taxonomy places the organism in Eukaryota, Metazoa, Chordata, Testudines, Trionychidae. The record is from RefSeq and is a predicted model, not a curated record.